AGAUGGAGGUUGGUCUAAGAGAAGAGAUAGCAUGUAGAGGCAAAUCCAUAUAUGCGAUUAAGUUGAUUCUUUAUGGGGAGACGAAUGAGUUGAAGUAUCUGAUUUCACACUGACGAGAAAAACUUCUAGGUAGAUAAUUAGUGCCCGUACCACAAACCGACACAGGUAGGCGAGGUGAGAAUCCAAAGACCAGCGGAAGAAUUGCAGUUAAGGAACUCGGCAAAUUGACCCCGUAAGUUAGCGAGAAGGGGUGCCAUAGAGAUAUGGUCGCAGAGAAUAGGCCCAAGCAACUGUUUAUCAAAAACACAGGUCUCUGCAAAAGCGAAAGCUUAAGUAUAGGGGCUGACGCCUGCCCGGUGCUGGAAGGUUAAGGGGAGCUGUUAUCGUAAGAGAAGCAGUGAACUUAAGCCCCAGUAAACGGCGGCCGUAACUAUAACGGUCCUAAGGUAGCGAAAUUCCUUGUCAGGUAAGUUCUGACCCGCACGAAUGGCGUAAUGACUUGGGCGCUGUCUCAACUGCAAAUCCGGCGAAAUUGUAGUGCAAGUGAAGAUGCUUGCUACCCGCGAUUGGACGGAAAGACCCCGUAGAGCUUUACUGUAAUUUAGCAUUGAGUUUUGGUAAUAUUUGUACAGGAUAGGUGGGAGACUGGGAAUCUAGAUCGUCAGAUUUAGAGGAGUCGAUGUUGGGAUACCACCCUGAUAUUGCUGAAAUUCUAACUGGGAUCCAUGAACUGGGUACAGGACACUGUUAGAUGGGCAGUUUGACUGGGGCGGUCGCCUCCAAAAGAGUAACGGAGGCGUUCAAAGGUUUCUUCAGAAGGGAUGGAAAUCCUUCGUAGAGCGUAAAGGCAUAAAGAAGCUUGACUGCGACACCUACAAGUGGAGCAGGUACGAAAGUAGGACUUAGUGAUCCGGUGGUACCUCGUGGGAGGGCCAUCGCUCAACGGAUAAAAGCUACCUCGGGGAUAACAGGCUGAUCUCCCCCAAGAGUUCACAUCGACGGGGAGGUUUGGCACCUCGAUGUCGGCUCGUCGCAUCCUGGGGCUGAAGUAGGUCCCAAGGGUUGGGCUGUUCGCCCAUUAAAGCGGCACGCGAGCUGGGUUCAGAACGUCGUGAGACAGUUCGGUCCCUAUCCGUCGCGGGCGCAGGAGAUUUGAGAGGAGCUGUCCUUAGUACGAGAGGACCGGGAUGGACUAACCAAUGGUGAACCAGUUGUUCCGCCAGGAGCACGGCUGGGUAGCUAAGUUAGGAAGGGAUAAACGCUGAAGGCAUCUAAGCGUGAAGCCCACCUUAAGAUAAGAUCUCCCAUAGCGUAAGCUAGUAAGACCCCUUGAAGAACACAAGGUUGAUAGGUAAAAGGUGUAAGUAUGGUAACAUAUUUAGCUGAUUUAUACUAAUAGGUCGAGGGCUUGACCAAAAUUAGCAAUAUAUUAUUUAUAUACAAUUUUGAGAGAUUAAAAUAUUUCUCAAUAUCUGGUGAUUAUAACGUGUAGGCAACACCCCUAUCCA
Molecule: ribosomal RNA, 1508 nt
Filed under: Candidatus Arthromitus sp. SFB-mouse-NYU
Lineage: Bacteria; Bacillati; Bacillota; Clostridia; Eubacteriales; Clostridiaceae
Description: 16S ribosomal RNA
Rfam family: Bacterial large subunit ribosomal RNA
Source: RNAcentral